This is a transfer RNA of Zostera marina, 73 nucleotides long. It matches the Rfam family "tRNA". Rfam says of the family: Transfer RNA (tRNA) molecules are approximately 80 nucleotides in length. Their secondary structure includes four short double-helical elements and three loops (D, anti-codon, and T loops). Further hydrogen bonds mediate the characteristic L-shaped molecular structure. tRNAs have two regions of fundamental functional importance: the anti-codon, which is responsible for specific mRNA codon recognition, and the 3' end, to which the tRNAs corresponding amino acid is attached (by aminoacyl-tRNA synthetases). tRNAs cope with the degeneracy of the genetic code in two manners: having more than one tRNA (with a specific anti-codon) for a particular amino acid; and 'wobble' base-pairing, i.e. permitting non-standard base-pairing at the 3rd anti-codon position. Lineage: Eukaryota; Viridiplantae; Streptophyta; Magnoliopsida; Alismatales; Zosteraceae. The record is from Rfam.
GGGGCAGUAGCUCAGACGGUAGAGCGUUCGUUUGGUAUACGAGAGGUUGUGGGAUCGAUACUCCACUUCUUCA